Molecule: non-coding RNA, 28 nt
Filed under: Mus musculus (house mouse)
Lineage: Eukaryota; Metazoa; Chordata; Mammalia; Rodentia; Muridae
Source: RNAcentral
UCUGAGCUACUGACUGGAAGGACCUGGG